Molecule: unclassified non-coding RNA, 152 nt
Organism: Cyanistes caeruleus (blue tit)
Lineage: Eukaryota; Metazoa; Chordata; Aves; Passeriformes; Paridae
Source: Ensembl
UUGAUGCCUUGGGGAGAACAAAGUCCUUUAUUUGUCCCCAGGCAUGCUAGAGCAGUGCUCCACACCCACGUGGCUUCCUUCUGACCUGAAAGGACCACCUUUAAGGGGCAAAAAGUAGUUUAGCUUCCCGAGCCUUUUGAAACUUGCCCUUU